AGAGUUUGAUCCUGGCUCAGAACGAACGCUGGCGGCGUGGCUAAGACAUGCAAGUCGAACGGAUUAUGCUUAACCGUAUAAUUAGUGGCGAAAGGGUGAGGAACGGACAGGUAACGUACCUCGUGCACCGGAAUAGCGUCGUUAGUCGCAAGACUAACUACCGAAAGGGGCGGUAACACCGGAUAAUGUGAUUUGUCGCAUGACGAAUCUCCAAAUAAUUUAUUGGCACGAGAGCGGCCUAUCUCCUAUCAGCUAGUUGGUGAGGUAACGGCCCACCAAGGCUAUGACGGGUAGCUGGAUUGAGAGAUCGACCAGCCACAUCGGGACUGAGACACUGCCCGGACCUCCACGGAGGGCUGCAGUAACGAAUAUUGGGCAAUGGGCGCAAGCCUGACCCAGCGACGCCGCGUGUAGGAUGAAGUCCUUCGGGAUGUAAACUACUGUCAGGGGUAUGAAAGUCCCGAGCAAUCGGGAUUGAUCUAACCCAAAGGAAGUCACGGCUAACUCUGUGCCAGCAGCCGCGGUAAUACAGAGGUGGCGAGCGUUGUUCGGAAUCAUUGGGCUUAAAGCGUGUGUAGGCGGACCAGAAAGUGUCUUGUGAAAUCCCUCGUCUUAACCGAGGAAUGGCUCGGCAAACUACUGGUCUUGAGUCAUGUAGGGGUGCUUGGAACUCUUGGUGGAGCGGUGAAAUGCGUAGAUAUCAAGAGGAACGCCAGUGGUGAAAACGGAGCACUAGGCAUGUACUGACGCUGAGAUACGAAAGCGUGGGGAGCAAACGGGAUUAGAUACCCCGGUAGUCCACGCUGUAAACGAUGCAUACUUGGUGUUGGAAAUUCUGACAUUUUCAAGACCGAAACUAAAGCGAUAAGUAUGCCGCCUGGGGAGUACGGUCGCAAGGCUAAAACUCAAAGGAAUUGACGGGGGCUCACACAAGCGGUGGAGCAUGUGGUUCAGUUCGAAGCAACGCGCAGAACCUUACCUGGGUUUGACAUGGUUGGAUGGCUUUCUGGAAACAGAGUAGUCUGCUGCAAGAGUGAAACUUUCACAGGUGCUGCAUGGCUGUCGUCAGUUCGUGUCGUGAGAUGUCGGGUUAAGUCCUAUAACGAACGAAACCCUUGCCGUUAGUUACAAACCCCGCAAGGGGUGGACUCUAACGGGACCGCCGGUGUUAAACCGGAGGAAGGUGGGGAUGACGUCAAGUCCUCAUGGCCUUUAUGCCCAGGGCAACGCACGUGCUACAAUGGCGAGUACAAAGCGACGCAAGACCGUAAGGUGGAGCAAAUCGCAUAAAAGUCGUCUCAGUCCGGAUUGAGGGCUGCAAUUCGCCCUCAUGAAGUUGGAAUCGCUAGUAAUCGUGAAUCAGCUAUGUCACGGUGAAUGUGUUCCUGAGCCUUGUACACACCGCCCGUCAAGUGAUGGGAGCCGGAAAUACCC
This 1434-nucleotide ribosomal RNA is filed under the name metagenome. RNAcentral describes it as "bacterial SSU rRNA". It matches the Rfam family "Bacterial small subunit ribosomal RNA". The record is from RNAcentral.